CAAAACGGGGAGCUUCUUGCUGAGAAUGAGUGCACCGCAUUCUAAACCCGAGGAACCUGAUACGGAUAAUGCCGGCGUAGGGAGAA
Molecule: non-coding RNA, 86 nt
Filed under: uncultured Butyricicoccus sp.
Lineage: Bacteria; Bacillati; Bacillota; Clostridia; Eubacteriales; Butyricicoccaceae
Source: RNAcentral